GCGGCCGCGGCCAGGACCGGAUCCGAAGCCAGGGUCUCCAAGGCCGCUUUAGCUACCAAGCUGCUGUCCUUGAGCGGCGUGUUCGCCGUGCACAAGCCCAAAGGGCCCACUUCAGCCGAGCUGCUGAAUCGGUUGAAGGAGAAGCUGCUGGCAGAAGCUGGAAUGCCUUCUCCAGAAUGGACCAAGAGGAAAAAGCAGACUUUGAAAAUUGGGCAUGGAGGGACUCUAGACAGCGCAGCCCGAGGAGUUCUGGUUGUUGGAAUUGGAAGCGGAACAAAAAUGUUGACCAGUAUGUUGUCAGGGUCCAAGAGAUAUACUGCCAUUGGAGAACUGGGGAAAGCUACUGAUACACUAGAUUCUACGGGGAAGGUAACAGAAGAAAAACCUUACGGUAUGAAGCUCAUCUAAUGUAGGCCUCUUUUCUAACAUUUAGGAAAAGUUUCUGUGCAGGUAGCGUUUUAAAACAAAUCUCUGAUAUUAUCAGCCAUUUUAAUUCUCAGUGUGUUUCUUUGGGCUAAGAAGAUUGGAAAUUGUUUGUCACAUUGUUGCUUACUUGAUAGGAGUUUUUGAAUAAAGAUUUAUUG
This 584-nucleotide small RNA is filed under the name Pan troglodytes (chimpanzee). RNAcentral describes it as "processed transcript". The record is from RNAcentral. Lineage: Eukaryota; Metazoa; Chordata; Mammalia; Primates; Hominidae.